This 253-nucleotide ribosomal RNA is filed under the name uncultured bacterium. RNAcentral describes it as "partial 16S ribosomal RNA". It matches the Rfam family "Bacterial small subunit ribosomal RNA", at positions 524 to 776 of the family's 1533-position model. The record is from RNAcentral.
UACGUAGGGUGCAAGCGUUGUCCGGAAUUAUUGGGCGUAAAGAGCUCGUAGGCGGUCUGUCGCGUCGAAUGUGAAAACCCGGGGCUCAACCCCGGGCCUGCAUUCGAUACGGGCAGACUAGAGUUCGGUAGGGGAGUCUGGAAUUCCUGGUGUAGCGGUGAAAUGCGCAGAUAUCAGGAGGAACACCGGUGGCGAAGGCGGGACUCUGGGCCGAUACUGACGCUGAGGAGCGAAAGCGUGGGGAGUGAACAGG